Hypholoma sublateritium FD-334 SS-4 is the source of this 73-nucleotide non-coding RNA. NCBI's taxonomy places the organism in Eukaryota, Fungi, Basidiomycota, Agaricomycetes, Agaricales, Strophariaceae. The record is from the annotation of a GenBank genome assembly.
CCCUGCCUAGCUCAAUUCGUAGAGCGUCUGGUACAUGCUCCUGAAGAUGCGAGUUCAACUCUCGCGGUGGGAA